GAGCUAUGAGGAUAAAAUCUCUAUCGUUAUGAAUCCUGACGACGUUAUACGCUAUUCUGAGCUACAA
Molecule: small nucleolar RNA, 67 nt
Organism: Cololabis saira (Pacific saury)
Lineage: Eukaryota; Metazoa; Chordata; Actinopteri; Beloniformes; Belonidae
Product: small nucleolar RNA U54
Exons: 1
Source: RefSeq, a predicted model, not a curated record